AUCUGAGUCCAUAUUAAGGAACAGAAAAAAGAAAGCUUUCAUAGUAGCAACUUGGAAUAAAAUCUGGCAUGCCUGAGGUUGCUGGGGGAGAGAGGAUGUCUGUUUUCCUUCGUCUUCCUUUGGCUGCCUACACGC
Molecule: small nucleolar RNA, 135 nt
Organism: Zalophus californianus (California sea lion)
Lineage: Eukaryota; Metazoa; Chordata; Mammalia; Carnivora; Otariidae
Product: small nucleolar RNA SNORA67
Source: Ensembl